AAGGCUGAGCUGUGAUGGGGAAGCUCCUUAUGGAGCGAAGUCUUUGAUUCCCCGCUGCCAAGAAAAGCUUCUAGCGAGAUAAAAGGUGCCUGUACCGCAAACCGACACAGGUAGGCGAGGAGAGAAUCCUAAGGUGUGCGAGAGAACUCUGGUUAAGGAACUCGGCAAAAUGACCCCGUAACUUCGGGAGAAGGGGUGCUUUCUUAACGGAAAGCCGCAGUGAAUAGGCCCAAGCGACUGUUUAGCAAAAACACAGGUCUCUGCGAAGCCGUAAGGCGAAGUAUAGGGGCUGACACCUGCCCGGUGCUGGAAGGUUAAGGAGAGGGGUUAGCGUAAGCGAAGCUCUGAACUGAAGCCCCAGUAAACGGCGGCCGUAACUAUAACGGUCCUAAGGUAGCGAAAUUCCUUGUCGGGUAAGUUCCGACCCGCACGAAAGGUGUAACGAUUUGGGCACUGUCUCAACCAGAGACUCGGUGAAAUUAUAGUACCUGUGAAGAUGCAGGUUACCCGCGACAGGACGGAAAGACCCCGUGGAGCUUUACUGUAGCCUGAUAUUGAAUUUUGGUACAGUUUGUACAGGAUAGGCGGGAGCCAUUGAAACCGGAGCGCUAGCUUCGGUGGAGGCGCUGGUGGGAUACCGCCCUGACUGUAUUGAAAUUCUAACCUACGGGUCUUAUCGACCCGGGAGACAGUGUCAGGUGGGCAGUUUGACUGGGGCGGUCGCCUCCUAAAGUGUAACGGAGGCGCCCAAAGGUUCCCUCAGAAUGGUUGGAAAUCAUUCGUAGAGUGCAAAGGCAUAAGGGAGCUUGACUGCGAGACCUACAAGUCGAGCAGGGACGAAAGUCGGGCUUAGUGAUCCGGUGGUUCCGCAUGGAAGGGCCAUCGCUCAACGGAUAAAAGCUACCCCGGGGAUAACAGGCUUAUCUCCCCCAAGAGUCCACAUCGACGGGGAGGUUUGGCACCUCGAUGUCGGCUCAUCGCAUCCUGGGGCUGUAGUCGGUCCCAAGGGUUGGGCUGUUCGCCCAUUAAAGCGGUACGCGAGCUGGGUUCAGAACGUCGUGAGACAGUUCGGUCCCUAUCCGUCGUGGGCGUAGGAAAUUUGAGAGGAGCUG
Molecule: ribosomal RNA, 1112 nt
Filed under: Bacillus cereus group sp. N12
Lineage: Bacteria; Bacillati; Bacillota; Bacilli; Caryophanales; Bacillaceae
Description: partial 23S ribosomal RNA
Rfam family: Bacterial large subunit ribosomal RNA
Source: RNAcentral